RNAcentral lists this ribosomal RNA (238 nucleotides) under uncultured bacterium. Its description in RNAcentral is "partial 16S ribosomal RNA". It matches the Rfam family "Bacterial small subunit ribosomal RNA", at positions 8 to 236 of the family's 1533-position model. The record is from RNAcentral.
AGAGUUUGAUCAUGGCUCAGGAUAAACGCUGGCGGCGCACAUAAGACAUGCAAGUCGAACGAACGUUAACCAUUAGUUUACUAUUGGAGCGGUUAGUGGCGGACUGGUGAGUAACACGUAAGCAGCCUGCCUAUCAGAGGGGAACAACGAGUUAGAAAUGACUGCUAAUACCGCAUAUGCCUUAGAAUCGCAUGGUUCGAAAGGGAAAGGAGCAAUCCGCUGAUAGAUGGGCUUGCGU